AACGAAAACGCGAAAAUAACACUGGCAAUCGUUGUCCGUACGAUUUUUCCUCCCGAUCUCCGGAUCACGCCGGCCGGCCGGAGAAUCGCGUUACGUUAGCGCACAGGUUUAUCGUUGUGCGCGCAGUUUCAAACCGAAUUACCGUCGUGUUAUCCGGUUCUCCGUUCCCACUCGCAUUCUUAAAUACCCAUCGGGGCAGUGUCGGCCUUUGUGUCUUCUUAUCCGUACACUCGUUUUUGAUAAAGAUAUAAGAAACGUUUACGCUGUUGUCACGACGUUUUCGUUGUUUACUUAAAAAAAAAAAAAAAAAAAAAAAAAAAAAUGUAGGUUUCGGGAAAUGAUUGAAUUUAUUUAUCAAAGUGAAUUUUUCGCGUAAUAAAAUGUUGAUUUUGCCAUCACCGAAUAACAUAUUCAUGCUCGGUACUCGAUACGCGAGACUCUCCGAUUGGUUUUAUGUGUGUUCCGUAUGUAAUAAUAAUAAUAAUAAAAAAAAAAAAAUCAAAUCAAAUCACAAUGUAAUGUUCGACGUAUCCGUUGAAUUUCUAUUGAUCAUCAAUCAAAUCCAUUCGAUGCGUAAUAAUUGUUUAUUCAACAGAUAUUCGAAAUUCUGUAUCGUCGCUCGGCAUCGCGGGAUUUAAUUGAAAAUAAACCGUUUUCCAUAUGCGCGGUCGUUGAAUUAUUUAAAUGGUCCGCUAUUUCGAAAAAAAAAAAAAAAACGGCGAAACGGACCGAAAUGUAAUUGACAAUAAUACUCGAAAUAUCGUCAAAAUUACGGCGCGUAUGUUAACGUAUGCUGUUUUAUGGGCAGAGGCGGAACGGGUACUAAUUUCAGGCCGGGCGAUUGAAAUUUAUCCGGGCCGCCCGAAUACAAAAUUUAUACGCGCCGAUCGAACACGCCGCGUUUUAAUUCGAUCCCGCAAAACAGCGUAAAAUAUUUUUUUCAUAACCUAGUUCACAAUUCAUUUGUAACGAUUCCCCCACGGCCGUUCACCGGUUCUCCGCGCCUCGGGUCCAUCUCAACUCUAUAGCUAAUCGAAGAACGGACAAAUGACGUCAUGUCCC
Non-coding RNA from Cinara cedri, 1062 nucleotides. The record is from the annotation of a GenBank genome assembly. NCBI's taxonomy places the organism in Eukaryota, Metazoa, Arthropoda, Insecta, Hemiptera, Aphididae.